UUUUCAUUAAAAAAUGAAUGAAAAAAAAACAUCUUUGAUAUUUUUACCACGAACUACGAGGUUUUGAUCCUCCAUUGCACUUUGUUGGUACGUAGGUAUGAGACUUCAAAAGUCUUGGCAAACACAAAAAUAUUAAGAAAAAACAUACUUCUUUCCCCAUCUCUCCAGUCUUUUGCAAACAACAUCUUUUUCAAACUAAAAUGUACAUAUUUUCAAUGAGGUUCCCAUGGUGUACCAUGAAUGUCUAUGGUGCUAAUACCUUCCCUUUG
Molecule: long non-coding RNA, 269 nt
Filed under: Lathyrus oleraceus (garden pea)
Lineage: Eukaryota; Viridiplantae; Streptophyta; Magnoliopsida; Fabales; Fabaceae
Description: Pisum sativum (pea) long non-coding RNA (PSAT_LNC000651)
Source: RNAcentral